Molecule: non-coding RNA, 125 nt
Organism: Triticum aestivum (bread wheat)
Lineage: Eukaryota; Viridiplantae; Streptophyta; Magnoliopsida; Poales; Poaceae
Source: Rfam
AUACUACUCCCUCCGUCCGGAAAUACUUGUCGGAGAAAUAGAUGAAAAUGGGUGUAUCUAGAACUAAAUUGUGUCUAGAUACAUUCGUUCCUUCGACAAGUAUUUUUGGACGGAGGGAGUACUCC